CACCGAACCCCAACAGAUCCGUAGUAUAUAGGUAGCAUCGUUCUUCCGUUAUCCGACGCCGCAGGCUGCGUGGCUUUCUUGCAGUGUUUAGACCCAGGUCGUCCCAAAUUGUCUCUCUCCUGGUAACCAUUGUUUCGAGAAGUUAUCCCCUGAAAAUGGUCCGCUUUCUUAACAAAUGCUGUGCCGUCUCCACAUUUCACUAGCCUAUUGACAUUAGAGUCUGGAUUUGGCUGAAUGAGCUCCCAUGCCUAUACUGGAGAUUGCUACUCCGCAGCCUGCCUGCAAAGUCGUUUGUGUGCAAUCAGGGCUCAAACCCUUAUUCAUGGUAAAUUUUCAUAAACUCCGUUUACCUCUGCGAACGUUAAAAGACUGUCCUAUGCUUGGAAAUCUUUGCGACUGCCUAAAGAACUAAACGUAAAUGUGAAACACGUUGAGGUGCAAAGGAGUAGACUACUGAUCAAUGCAGUCGCAACUCUUGAACCCAAGGCCAAGGGUUUAGUUCAGAAUAAAAAUGGACAAAAGGGUUGCGAUGUUACACACUUUGGUAUCGAUUCAAGUCUCCCGACAAUUGAACUCAAGUAGUCGAGUGAAGACUCGAAGGAAUUGGAUGAGAGAGAGAGGUCGAGAAGGCUGAGAAUAUCGAAAGCAAAUAAGGGUAACACACCGUGGAACAAAGGCAGGAAACACAGUGCUGAAACCCUUCAACGGAUUAGAGAGAGAACAAAGCUUGCAAUGCAGGAUCCUAAGGUCAGAAUGAAAUUAAGCAACCUAGGACACGCUCAGAGCACAGAGACAAGGGUGAAAAUUGCAGUUGGAGUUCGAUUGGGGAGGCAAAGGCGACGUGAGAAGCUGACAGUGCAGGAAGGUUGCUGCUUUGAGUGGCAGAAUCUAAUUGCAGGAGCAGCAAAACGAGGCUUUGUUGGCGUGGAAGAGCUGCAGUGG
Juglans microcarpa x Juglans regia is the source of this 942-nucleotide long non-coding RNA. RefSeq lists it as uncharacterized. NCBI's taxonomy places the organism in Eukaryota, Viridiplantae, Streptophyta, Magnoliopsida, Fagales, Juglandaceae. The transcript is spliced from 5 exons. The record is from RefSeq and is a predicted model, not a curated record.